CUCCGGUCCCAGUACUAACGCGUUUAAGUCCCCCGCCUGGGAAGUACGGGUCACAACGCUGAAACUCAAAGAAAUUGACGGGGCCCGCACAAGCGGUGAAGCAUGUGGUUUAAUUCGAUGCAACCCAAAAAACCUUACCUGGGUUUAAACUGCUGGGACCGUUCUGGAGACAGAAUCUUCCUUCGGGGACUCCAGCAGAGGUGCUGCAUGGCUGUCGUCAGCUCGUGCCGUGAGGUGUUGGGUUAAGUCCCGCAACGAGCGCAACCCUUGCCCCUAGUUGCCAGCGGGUAAUGCCGGGGACUCUAGGGGGACUGCCGGUGACAAACCGGAGGAAGGUGGGGAUGACGUCAAGUCAUCAUGGCCUUUAUGUCCAGGGCUACACACGUGCUACAAUGGUCGGUACAAAGGGCUGCAAACCCGCGAGGGGGAGCUAAUCCCAAAAAGCCGGCCUCAGUUCGGAUUGCAGUCUGCAACUCGACUGCAUGAAGGUGGAAUCGCUAGUAAUCGCGUAUCAGAACGACGCGGUGAAUACGUUCCCGGGCCUUGUACACACCGCCCGUCACAUCACGAAAGUCAGCUGUACCCGAAGCCGGUGGGCCAACCCGCAAGGGAGGCAGCCGUCCACGGUGUGGUUGGCGAUUGGGGUGAAGUCGUAACAAGGUAA
Molecule: ribosomal RNA, 664 nt
Filed under: uncultured bacterium
Lineage: Bacteria
Description: bacterial SSU rRNA
Rfam family: Bacterial small subunit ribosomal RNA
Source: RNAcentral